Molecule: ribosomal RNA, 497 nt
Filed under: uncultured bacterium
Lineage: Bacteria
Description: partial 16S ribosomal RNA
Rfam family: Bacterial small subunit ribosomal RNA
Source: RNAcentral
GAUGAACGCUGGCGGCGUGCCUAAUACAUGCAAGUCGAGCGAACGGACGAGAAGCUUGCUCUUCUGAUGUUAGCGGCGGACGGGUGAGUAACACGUGGAUAACCUACCUAUAAGACUGGGAUAACUUCGGGAAACCGGAGCUAAUACCGGAUAAUAUUUUGAACCGCAUGGUUCAAAAGUGAAAGACGGUCUUGCUGUCACUUAUAGAUGGAUCCGCGCUGCAUUAGCUAGUUGGUAAGGUAACGGCUUACCAAGGCAACGAUGCAUAGCCGACCUGAGAGGGUGAUCGGCCACACUGGAACUGAGACACGGUCCAGACUCCUACGGGAGGCAGCAGUAGGGAAUCUUCCGCAAAGGGCGAAAGCCUGACGGAGCAACGCCGCGUGAGUGAUGAAGGUCUUCGGAUCGUAAAACUCUGUUAUUAGGGAAGAACAUAUGUGUAAGUAACUGUGCACAUCUUGACGGUACCUAAUCAGAAAGCCACGGCUAACUACGUG